CCCUUUUGUGUAGCGCCGUUUAUUUAGUCGAUAGAAUAGUGAUUUUGAAUUAUAUAUCGCAUCAUCCUAUAUUCUGCAAUUAUAUUUAUGAAUGAUCAGUUAUGCUAGAAUGAAUAUCGUAUCAUUUUGUUUUGUGCAAACCUAUUAAUAUUAAUUCAAUAAUUGUAUUUUAAGUACGAUAGCAGUUGACGUUGAGCUUCCAGUGAGGCUGUGACUCAGUCUCGACUCUCGGCUAGAUAAAUCAUAAUGGCAGGAUUGGCAAGAAACUGGAGAUUCCUUCAACGAACUAUGCCAGAUGAUGCUCACUACUUGCAUGAAGAUUAUCAACCACCACCGGCAACACCAAGCAGCAAAAUAAAUUUAGAAGAAAGAUUUGGGUUGCAGAAUGCAUCUGGACCUGGACCUGCCUUCUUGCCAGACUACGAAAAUUGGAAAUCUGUCAGAAACAAAAAUAUAGAUAAUGUGAGCAGCUUGGAGAAAAUUUAUGAGAAUCAGCAAGAGAUGUUGGAAGAUGCAAUGCAGUGCGAGUCAAGUGUGGAGCCUCCUCCACUACCUCCACGCAACACUCCAGGCCGUCGUAACCCUCACUUCAACACCACCAUCAACAUUGAUGCCAGCACCAACAUUGUUCCACAGUCCAUCAACACCACGAUCUGCGCCCCGCCAAUUGAUAUUGAUGACUAUAACAACUGGCAUGAACAAGCUAUGCUGAUGGAGGACCAAGAAGAGGAAUGUCAGGGUGUACGAGGAGCUCUGAAGUACCAAUCAAAGUCGUCAUCUGCUCUGCGGCAGUUCUCUGUAUUCCAGCCUUUCUCAAACCUUUCGCAUAAACGUGGUAAUUUGAACCAAACCUUUGCUGCUGGUGAAGAUGUGUACACCAACAUUACUGAAGCAACUCCUCACAAGCAGUCUUUUAAGAACAACCAUUCAAGCAUUGCCCCACUGUGGCACAGAUUGCAUCCUGAAAAGGAAAACAAAAUCAACUCUGGCAAAUUUUUCAAGUUUGGCGGACAUCGUUUGUCUCAGGCUGUUCAAGGUUGUCGAACUGCCAUUGCAAGUAUUUCACAGAAAUUCAAGACUUCAACGCAGCGGCGCUACAAACUCGACCCAAACAGUCCACGAGGAAGCAGCUAUGCUACACCACCACGGGGCUCCAUACGCCGCACUCCUGGCAAGCUCUACAGUCCCUUCAACUGCAGCACUCCGCCCCCACCUCGUGGUUACGAGACCAAGAGGCUGCAGCAUAGACCCAUCAGGUCUGGCCUAGAAGGAAGAAUCAUGAGGACGCCACAGGGACGACUGCUGCGGUCACCUGGUCGAGCCACUCGUGGCAACCUGAGCGUCUCUUUCUCUGGCGAUCAUCAGACGAGCGUGCACAGCAGACUGGGUCCUCUUUCUCAUGCUGGGACGGCGGGCACCUCGCACUGCCAGCCUACCAUGGAGGAUGUGCUUGAAGAAAGAGACCCUCCACCGUACCCUGGCCAACCACUCCAUCGCCACCAGUGGAGCAGCUUCCAGUCUCCCCACCGUGUAGGAGGUCCUGGAGUUGUCCCGUCAGCCUACCGCCCCACUGACGUUCACCACCGCACCGCACACAGUGUGGACCUCUUAGGAGAAGAACCUAGUGCCUACAAGCGGCACAUGGUAGAGUUUGAUCAGCUGAGCAGGAACAUCACUGUCAGCCUCAACAGGGGAUCUAAAUUCAGGAACUCAAUCCGUUGAGGUAGAAAUAAACUCGAUGUGAACACACUGCCCUUGAGAUUUUGCCAUCAGUGGAUAUAAAUUAUGUAACUUUAUUCAUCAUCCUGGGAACAAAAAUUAAUUUACUAACUCAUAUUACAUCUUAGCUUUAUGUUCAUGUAUUCUUUACUUUGGUUUUAUUCUACGUUAUUUGAUGGAUAAUUACGUCUUUGCAAGUAAGAUAAGUUUUCGAUUAUCUGUGCUCGUUCUGGUAAUCUGUAUGAUCUUCUAUGAAGUAAUUGCUUUUAUCUUGAAGAGACUGGCUCAAAUUCCGGCAUAUUCAAUUUACAAAUAAAGAACUUUCGUCUGAAAUUCACCGUAUACGAUAUUGAUUCAGCACUAUUUUGAUUACUUUUUUUAGGAUUGUAAGGUUAUUGAUAAUUUCACUAAUAUUUGCUUAAGAUGCUAGCUGAUAUUUUAUUGAUAAUUUAUGUUCAUGGUCAGUUUGAAGUAAGCAUUACUUCGUUAAUAAUAGUUCUAUUACUACGUAUAAUAUUCUACUUGGAGUCAAAGAAGAGGCAUUCUUCCAUGACACUUUGUCUCAAAUGUUGAGCUAGUCUUCUGAUAGAAUUACAAGUCGUUAACACUGCGUUGUCUCAUGUUCCAGCCUUAUUAGCGUCUGCAGAAUAUUUUAUAAUAAAUGUUUUAUAAUAUAUAGCAGGUCAUUAUUUUUUAUGGGAUCAAAUGGUAGCCUGGUAUCCACUGUUACGUCAGUGCUCGUAUCAUUUUUAAUAUUGCCCACUCCUGCAUUUAUAAAUUACAACAUAGAGACGGGGAGAGUUGUACGUAAAUUUCACCUGCAACACAUGCACCUUACGAUUUUGUGAACGUAAUAAUUUUUUUAGUAUUAUCCAGUUAAGUAUGCAUGAUAAUAUUUAAAUUUUUAAUCUUAAUUUAUACGUAAUGGCCAAUUCCAUUUGCUGUUAGCAUUAUCAGUUUAACUAGAACGACAUAUUUAAAAAUGUACCUACUAGAAUUUUAUUUUUGUAUUGCAGUUUCUGCUCUAAAUCCAGUAUUACAUCGCCUCGCGGAAUCUCUAACACGGCUGCCAAAGUUACUUGUAUUUUUGAAGCUUGCUUUUGUGUGCAAGUUUACAGCUUAUAGGUUUUCCACAUUUAUACAUCAGUGUUAGGUUUUUUGUACGAGCUUUGAUCAGUAUUAAGUAUAAAACUAAGGUACGAUCCCGAUCAUCAUUAAGGUAUUAAGGUAUGUGCUUUUAUGAUUAUUAAACAAACUUCUGGUACGAAGCUUGUUAAUUUUUAAGAUAUCAUCCAUUUAGUUAUCUGUGCAGCUAAAAUAUUUGUUCAACACAGCAUUUGUAGCAGCUUUUUUUUUCUCAAUGCGAAUGUUUUGUUUGGGAAAUAUGACUUUUUUUUGUAAGGAUCGCUGGUUUCUUCAGCGAGUUACCUAUUUAUCGUUGUAAGCUUCUUGGCUGGAUGAGAAAUAGUUGAGUUUUACUGAUGUGCUUUCGGAAUUUUCUCCAAGAUUAGGAGAAAGAUGGCCUUAACCUCCCUUUUUAUGUUAUUAGACGAGUUUUCUGUUCGUUUGUAUUUAAUGUAUCGCUGUAUUUUUACCAGUAAUAGAUUUUGACAUUGGGUUA
Hyalella azteca is the source of this 3340-nucleotide RNA transcript. RefSeq lists it as uncharacterized. The record is from RefSeq and is a predicted model, not a curated record. NCBI's taxonomy places the organism in Eukaryota, Metazoa, Arthropoda, Malacostraca, Amphipoda, Hyalellidae. The transcript has 8 exons.